Molecule: long non-coding RNA, 850 nt
Organism: Vombatus ursinus (common wombat)
Lineage: Eukaryota; Metazoa; Chordata; Mammalia; Diprotodontia; Vombatidae
Exons: 4
Source: RefSeq, a predicted model, not a curated record
CCUGUAAACAACUUCUCUACAUGGAUAGCCAGCAAGGAGUUCCAUUGCAAGCAGUGUCCAGUUCUCUCACAUAAAUAUAAGAGAAGAGAACAGGAGCAGAAGUGAAGAGGAGAAUUGGGAGCCAUCCAUCAUCAGUGAUUAAGGGGUAGCAUGAUGGCUCCAGUCCCAGUACUCAGAGAAGAAGAUAGCAAAUGCAGAGUCUAGACAUUCAGAAAAGCAUAUGGUAAUGAAUAAAGCCCCUGCCUUUUGCAAUGAGAAAUCAUUAACUUGUGUUCAGCAAAGAUCAAAUUCAUUUGACUGCUAGGAAAAGGAAGAGGAAGAAGAAGAUCGUCAUCAUCAUCAUCAUCAUCCUCAGCUUCUCAAAUUGGUAGUUUGGGUCCCCAGAGGGCAGAUACUACUAUUCUCAGAUAACAUGAUAAAGACAGUUAAUAGAAAAAGUUCUCUUAAGAAUCUAGUUCACGCCUUCCCAGGCCCUGCGCUGUAUCCAUUGAACCACUUAGCUAUCUUAGUAAAGAUUAAUAGGCCCAGUAGCCAUUGUCCGCCAUGAGACCCUUUGAGCAAUGAACGACCAGUAGAGACCGUCAUGCCCAGCAGCCACCACAAGAUCAGCAGAGAUCAGGUCCAUAUGUUCAAUGAUCAUUGUCAAUCACUGUGAGACGAACGGAGCAACAUGUCUAGUAAAAACACUACACCUAACAGGCCCAGUGAGAAUACAAAUGACAUCACUAGGAAAAAUUCACAUUCCUCAUGUAUCAAAAGCAUACAUGACCUUCCAGACAUGUGCCCUGGCCACACACGUUCCCUGUGUUAGUGCCUCUCAUGCCGGAUCCCAAUUCACAUUUACUACUAG